GGUCUCCAUACCCCGUCCGGUAUGAGAGACCACGUUCCCGGUAGGGUUCCCUACGGACUCAGUCCGUCCACCAUCUCCCAGGAUAUCUAGUCAGGUUGUCCACACUAUCCAUUUAUCAAUUCACAUAACCUUUUUGCCCUUUUUCAUGGUCUCAAUCAUUCAAUCAUACACAACAUAUAAACCAGUCAUCGACACCAAACAAGACAACACAGUAUCGGGUUAACCAUAAUACCAACCAUAAUAAAAGAAACCAUGAUUCAUGCAUACGAGACCAUAAAAUAAAUAC
This 286-nucleotide long non-coding RNA is filed under the name Carica papaya (papaya). RNAcentral describes it as "long non-coding RNA (CPAP_LNC013670)". The record is from RNAcentral. Lineage: Eukaryota; Viridiplantae; Streptophyta; Magnoliopsida; Brassicales; Caricaceae.